GACGAACGCUGGCGGCGUGCUUAACACAUGCAAGUCGAACGGAAAGGCCCUGCUUUUGUGGGGUGCUCGAGUGGCGAAAGGGUGAGUAACACGUGAGUAACCUGCCCUUGACUUUGGGAUAACUUCAGGAAACUGGGGCUAAUACCGGAUAGGAGCUCCUGCGGCAUGGUGGGGGUUGGAAAGUUUCGGCGGUUGGGGAUGGACUCGCGGCUUAUCAGCUUGUUGGUGGGGUAGUGGCUUACCAAGGCUUUGACGGGUAGCCGGCCUGAGAGGGUGACCGGCCACAUUGGGACUGGGAUACGGCCCAGACUCCUACGGGAGGCAGCAGUGGGGAAUAUUGCACAAUGGGCUGAGGCCUGAUGCAGCAACGCCGCGUGCGGGAUGACGGCCUUCGGGUUGUAAACCGCUUUCGCCUGUGACGAAGCGUGAGUGACGGUAAUGGGUAAAGAAGCACCGGCUAACUACGUG
Molecule: ribosomal RNA, 468 nt
Filed under: uncultured bacterium
Lineage: Bacteria
Description: partial 16S ribosomal RNA
Rfam family: Bacterial small subunit ribosomal RNA
Source: RNAcentral